CCUCUCAUGGCGUAGGGGUAACGCGCCCUAGCUAGAGAUCAGGGAGUCGUGAGUUCGAUUCUCACUGAGAAGA
This is a non-coding RNA of Aedes aegypti (yellow fever mosquito), 73 nucleotides long. Lineage: Eukaryota; Metazoa; Arthropoda; Insecta; Diptera; Culicidae. The record is from Rfam.